ACACUGGGAGACAUGGGGACAGUUGUGGACAAAGACAUGUGGACACUGGGACAUAUAGGGACACUGGGAGACAUGGGGACACCAGGCACACUGAGACACUAGGAACACAGGCACUGGGAGACAUGGAGACACUGAAACAUUUGUGGACACUAAGACACUAGGGACACAGACACUGGGAGACUAGGGGAAACUGUGAGACUAGGGGAUACUGGGAGACUAGGGGACACUGGCUGGGAGACAGACACUUGGGGAGACAUGGGGACAGUUGUGGACAUAGACAUGGGGACACUGGGACACAUGGGGAC
Molecule: non-coding RNA, 305 nt
Organism: Pelobates cultripes (western spadefoot toad)
Lineage: Eukaryota; Metazoa; Chordata; Amphibia; Anura; Pelobatidae
Source: the annotation of a GenBank genome assembly